RNAcentral lists this ribosomal RNA (389 nucleotides) under uncultured bacterium. RNAcentral describes it as "bacterial SSU rRNA". It matches the Rfam family "Bacterial small subunit ribosomal RNA", at positions 28 to 417 of the family's 1533-position model. The record is from RNAcentral.
AUUGAACGCUGGCGGCAUGCUUUACACAUGCAAGUCGAGCGGCAGCGCGGGGGCAACCCUGGCGGCGAGCGGCGAACGGGUGAGUAAUACAUCGGAACGUGUCCCGUAGUGGGGGAUAGCUCGGCGAAAGCCGGAUUAAUACCGCAUAUGCUCUACGGAGGAAAGCGGGGGAACCGCAAGGACCUCGCGCUAUGGGAGCGGCCGAUGUCCGAUUAGCUUGUUGGUGGGGUAACGGCUUACCAAGGCGACGAUCGGUAGCUGGUCUGAGAGGAUGAUCAGCCACACUGGGACUGAGACACGGCCCAGACUCCUACGGGAGGCAGCAGUGGGGAAUUUUGGACAAUGGGGGAAACCCUGAUCCAGCCAUGCCGCGUGAGUGAAGAAGGCCU